GAUGAACGCUGGCGGCGUGCCUAAUACAUGCAAGUCGAGCGAACGGACGAGAAGCUUGCUUCUCUGAUGUUAGCGGCGGACGGGUGAGUAACACGUGGAUAACCUACCUAUAAGACUGGGAUAACUUCGGGAAACCGGAGCUAAUACCGGAUAAUAUUUUGAACCGCAUGAUUCAAAAGUGAAAGACGGUCUUGCUGUCACUUAUAGAUGGAUCCGCGCUGCAUUAGCUAGUUGGUAAGGUAACGGCUUACCAAGGCAACGAUGCAUAGCCGACCUGAGAGGGGGACCGGCAAAACGGGAAUGGGAAAACGGUCCAGACUCCUACGGGAGGCAGCAGUAGGGAACCUUCGCAAUGGGCGAAAGCCUGACGGAGCAACGCCGCGUGAGUGAUGAAGGUCUUCGGAUCGUAAAACUCUGUUAUUAGGGAAGAACAUAUGUGUAAGUAACUGUGCACAUCUUGACGGUACCUAAUCAGAAAGCCACGGCUAACUACGUG
Molecule: ribosomal RNA, 496 nt
Filed under: uncultured bacterium
Lineage: Bacteria
Description: partial 16S ribosomal RNA
Rfam family: Bacterial small subunit ribosomal RNA
Source: RNAcentral